Molecule: non-coding RNA, 154 nt
Organism: Clostridium puniceum
Lineage: Bacteria; Bacillati; Bacillota; Clostridia; Eubacteriales; Clostridiaceae
Source: Rfam
AAUAGGUGAAAUUCCUAUGGUGUCUUAAUGUUGGAAGGCACACUCUAAGACUCCGACAUGCAUUAUAUCUUAUCAAUAUAAUGUAUGAAGUCCGGUGAAGGCGGUGAAAAUCAGACCUGAGAAGUGGUUAGAGAAAUAAUCGGGAGGCUAUAAA